GACGAACGCUGGCGGCGUGCUUAACACAUGCAAGUCGAACGGAAAGGCCCUGCUUUUGUGGGGUGCUCGAGUGGCGAACGGGUGAGUAACACGUGAGUAACCUGCCCUUGACUUUGGGAUAACUUCAGGAAACUGGGGCUAAUACCGGAUAGGAGCUCCUGCUGCAUGGUGGGGGUUGGAAAGUUUCGGCGGUUGGGGAUGGACUCGCGGCUUAUCAGCUUGUUGGUGGGGUAGUGGCUUACCAAGGCUUUGACGGGUAGCCGGCCUGAGAGGGUGACCGGCCACAUUGGGACUGAGAUACGGCCCAGACUCCUACGGGAGGCAGCGGUGGGGAAUAUUGCACAAUGGGCGGAAGCCUGAUGCAGCAACGCCGCGUGCGGGAUGACGGCCUUCGGGUUGUAAGCCGCUUUCGCCUGUGACGAAGCGUGAGUGACGGUAAUGGGUAAAGAAGCACCGGCUAACUACGUG
RNAcentral lists this ribosomal RNA (468 nucleotides) under uncultured bacterium. RNAcentral's name for it is "partial 16S ribosomal RNA". It matches the Rfam family "Bacterial small subunit ribosomal RNA", at positions 28 to 507 of the family's 1533-position model. The record is from RNAcentral.